Non-coding RNA from Xyrichtys novacula (pearly razorfish), 12783 nucleotides. NCBI's taxonomy places the organism in Eukaryota, Metazoa, Chordata, Actinopteri, Labriformes, Labridae. The record is from the annotation of a GenBank genome assembly.
GGUUUAAGGUUUUUGGCGUUAGGAUUAAAAUCACUGUCCAAAACCUUUUUAGGAACAUGUUUCAGACCUUUUGGAGUUAGUAAGACCAAAAAAAAAGAACAAAGAAAAAAAAAAUUGGGGGUUUUCGGGCUUCCUGAUGGUAAUACCCGGGUAUUAGGUUUUGGGGCUAGGGUAAGGUUUAAGGUAUUUGGCGUUAGGGUUAAAAUCACUGUCCAAAACCUUUGUAGGAACUCUAUUCAAACCUUUUGGAGUUAGUUAGACCAUAAAAAUGUAAAAUGAAAAAAAUAUUUGAGGUUUUCGGGUUUCCUGAAGGUAAUACCCGGGUAUUUGGUUAUGGGGCUAUGGUUAGGUUUAAGGUUUUUGGCGUUAGGGUUAAAAUAACUGUCCAAAACCUUUGUAGGAACUCUUUUCCAACCUUUUGGAGUUAUUUAGACCAAAAAAAAAUGAAAAAUGAAAAAAAAUAUUUCGGGUUUUCAGUCUUCCUGAAGGUAAUACCCGGCUAUAAGGUUAUGGGGCUAGGGUAAGGUUUAAGGUUUUUGGCGUUAGGGUUAAAAUCACUGUCCAAAACCUUUGUAGGAACUCUUUUCCAACCUUUUGGAGUGAGUUAGACCAAAAAACAAAUGAAAAAUAAAAAUAAAAUAUAUAUAUUUGGGGUGUUCGGGCUUCCUGAAGGUAAUACCCGGGUAUAAGGUUAUGGGGCUAGGGUAAGGUUUAAGGUUUUUGGUGUUAGGGUUAAAAUCACUGUCCAAAACCUUUGUAGGAACUCUUUUCCAACCUUUUGGAGUUAGUUAGACCAAAAAAAAUGAAAAAUGAAAAAAAAAUAUUUGGGGUGUUCGGGCUUCCUGAAGGUAAUACCCGGGUAUCAGGUUAUGGGGCUUUGGAAACGUUUGAGUCUUUCGGCGUUAGGGUAAAAAUCACUGUCCAAAACCUUUGUAGGAACUCUUUUCCAACCUUUUGGAGUUAGUAAGACAAAAAAAAAUAAAAAUAAAAAUAUUUGGGGUGUUCGGGCUUCCUGAAGGUAAUACCCGGGUAUUAGGUUAUGGGGCUAGGGUAAGGUUUAAGGUUUUUGGCGUUAGGGUUAAAAUCACUGUCCAAAACCUUUUUAGGAACAUGUUUCAGACCUUUUGGAGUUAGUUAGACCAAAAAAAAGAAAAAAGAAAAAAAAUUUUGGGGGUUUUCGGGCUUCCUGAAGGUAAUACCCGGGUAUUAGGUUAUGGGGCUAGGGUAAGGUUAAAGGUUUUUGGCGUUAGGGUUAAAAUCACUGUCCAAAACCUUUGUAGGAACUCUAUUCAAACCUUUUGGAGUUAGUUAGACCAUAAAAAUGUAAAAUGAAAAAAAUAUUUGAGGUUUUCGGGUUUCCUGAAGGUAAUACCCGGGUAUUUGGUUAUGGGGCUAUGGUUAGGUUUAAGGUUUUUGGCGUUAGGGUUAAAAUAACUGUCCAAAACCUUUGUAGGAACUCUUUUCCAACCUUUUGGAGUUAUUUAGACCAAAAAAAAAUGAAAAAUGAAAAAAAAAUAUUUCGGGUUUUCAGUCUUCCUGAAGGUAAUACCCGGCUAUUAGGUAAUGGGGCUAUGGUAAGGUUUAAGGUUUUUGGCGUUAGGGUUAAAAUCACUGUCCAAAACCUUUAUAAGAACUCUUAUCCAACCUUUUGGAUUUAGUUUGACCAAAAAAAAAGAAAAAUGAAAAUAAAGUAUUUGGGGUGUUCGGGCUUCCUGAAGGUAAUACCCGGGUAUUAGGUUAUGGGGCUAGGGUAAGGUUUAAGGUUUUUGGCGUUAGGGUUAAAAUCACUGUGCAAAACCUUUGUAGGAACUCUAUUCAAACCUUUUGGAAUUAGUUAGACCAAAAAAAAAUAAAAAAUGAAAAAAAAAUAUUUGUGGUUUUCGGGCCUCCUGAAGGUAAUACCCGGGUAUAAGGUUUUGGGGCUAGGUUAAGGUUUAAGGUUUUUGGCGUUAGGGUUAAAAUCACUGUCCAAAACCUUUAUAAGAACUCUUAUCCAACCUUUUGGAUUUAGUUUGACCAAAAAAAAAGAAAAAUGAAAAUAAAGUAUUUGGGGUGUUCGGGCUUCCUGAAGGUAAUACCCGGGUAUUAGGUUAUGGGGCUAGGGUAAGGUUUAAGGUUUUUGGUGUUAGGGUUAAAAUCACUGUCCAAAACCUUUGUAGGAACUCUUUUCCAACCUUUUGGAGUUAGUUAGACCAAAAAAAAAGAAAAAUGAAAAAAAAAUAUUUGGGGUGUUCGGGCUUCGUGAAGGUAAUACCCGGGUAUCAGGUUUUGGGGCUAGGUUAAGGUUUAAGGUUUUUGGCGUUAGGGUUAAAAUCACUGUCCAAAACCUUUGUAGGAACUCUUUUCCAACCUUUUGGAAUUAGUUAGACCAAAAAAAAAUAAAAAAUGAAAAAAAAAUAUUUGUGGUUUUCGGGCCUCCUGAAGGUAAUACCCGGGUAUAAGGUUUUGGGGCUGGGGCUAGGUUAAGGUUUAAGGUUUUUGGCGUUAGGGUUAAAAUCACUGUCCAAAACCUUUGUAGGAACUCUUUUCCAACCUUUUGGAUUUAGUUUGACCAAAAAAGAAAAGAAAAAUGAAAAUAGAAUAUUUGGGGUGUUCGGGCUUCCUGAAGGUAAUACCCGGGUAUUAGGUUAUGGGGCUAGGGUAAGGUUUAAGGUUUUUGGCGUUAGGGUUAAAAUCACUGUCCAAAACCUUAUUAGGAACAUGUUCCAGACCUUUUGGAAUUAGUUAGACCAAAAAUAAACGAAAAAUGGAAAAAAAAUAUUUGGGGUGUUCGGGCUUCCUGAAGGUAAUACCCGGGUAUCAGGUUUUGGGGCUAGGUUAAGGUUUAAGGUUUUUGGCGUUAGGGUUAAAAUCACUGUCCAAAACCUUUGUAGGAACUCUAUUCAAACCUUUUGGAGUUAGUUAGACCAAAAAAAAAUAAAAAAUGAAAAAAAAAUAUUUGUGGUUUUCGGGCCUCCUGAAGGUAAUACCCGGGUAUAAGGUUUUGGGGCUAGGUUAAGGUUUAAGGUUUUUGGCGUUAGGGUUAAAAUCACUGUCCAAAACCUUUGUAAGAACUCUUAUCCAACCUUUUGGAUUUAGUUUGACCAAAAAAAAAGAAAAAUGAAAAUAAAAUAUUUGGGGUGUUCGGGCUUCCUGAAGGUAAUACCCGGGUAUUAGGUUAUGGGGCUAGGGUAAGGUUUAAGGUUUUUGGUGUUAGGGUUAAAAUCACUGUCCAAAACCUUUGUAGGAACUCUUUUCCAACCAUUUGGAGUUAGUUAGACCAAAAAAAAAGAAAAAUGAAAAAAAAAUAUUUGGGGUGUUCGGGCUUCCUGAAGGUAAUACCCGGGUAUCAGGUUUUGGGGCUAGGUUAAGGUUUAAGGUUUUUGGCGUGAGGGUUAAAAUCACUGUGCAAAACCUUUGUAGGAACUCUUUUCCAACCUUUUGGAAUUAGUUAGACCAAAAAAAAAAUAAAAAAUGAAAAAAAAAUAUUUGUGGUUUUCGGGCGUCCUGAAGGUAAUACCCAGGUAUAAGGUUUUGGGGCUAGGGUAAGGUUUAAGGUUUUUGGUGUUAGGGUUAAAAUCACUGUCCAAAACCUUUGUAGGAACUCUUUUCCAACCAUUUGGAGUUAGUUAGACCAAAAAAAAAGAAAAAUGAAAAAAAAAUAUUUGGGGUGUUCGGGCUUCCUGAAGGUAAUACCCGGGUAUCAGGUUUUGGGGCUAGGUUAAGGUUUAAGGUUUUUGGCGUGAGGGUUAAAAUCACUGUCCAAAACCUUUGUAGGAACUCUUUUCCAACCUUUUGGAAUUAGUUAGACCAAAAAAAAAUAAAAAAUGAAAAAAAAAUAUUUGUGGUUUUCGGGCCUCCUGAAGGUAAUACCCGGGUAUAAGGUUUUGGGGCUGGGGCUAGGUUAAGGUUUAAGGUUUUGGGGCGUUAGGGUUAAAAUCACUGUCCAAAACCUUUAUAAGAACUCUUUUCCAACCUUUUGGAUUUAGUUUGACCAAAAAAAAAGAAAAAUGAAGAUAAAAUAUUUGGGGUGUUCGGGCUUCCUGAAGGUAAUACCCGGGUAUUAGGUUAUGGGGCUAGGGUAAGGUUUAAGGUUUUUGGCGUUAGGGUUAAAAUCACUGUCCAAAACCUUUUUAGGAACAUGUUUCAGACCUUUUGGAAUUAGUUAGACCAAAAAUAAACGAAAAAUGGAAAAAAAAUAUUUGGGGUGUUCGGGCUUCCUGAAGGUAAUACCCGGGUAUUAGGUUUUGGGGCUAGGGUAAGGUUUAAGGUUUUUGGCGUGAGGGUUAAAAUCAGUGUCCAAAACCUUUGUAGGAACUCUUUUCCAACCCUUUCGGAGUUAGUUAGACCAAAAAAAAAAUGAAAAAUGAAAAAAAAAAUAUUUGGGGUUUUCGGGCUUCCUGAAGGUAAUACCCGGGUAUUAGGGUUAUGGGGCUAGGGUAAGGUUUAAGGUUUUUGGCGUGAGGGUUAAAAUCACUGUCCAAAACCUUUGUAGGAACUCUUUUCCAACCUUUUGGAGUUAGUUAGACCUAAAAAAAAAGAAAAAUGAAAAAAAAAUAUUUGGGGUGUUCGGGCUUCCUGAAGGUAAUACCCCGGUAUUAGGUUUUGGGGCUAGGGUAAGGUUUAAGUUUUUUGGCGUGAGGGUUAAAAUCACUGUCCAAAACCUGUGUAGGAACUCUUUUCCAACCUUUUGGAGUUAGUUAGACCUAAAAAAAAAGAAAAAUUAAAAAAAACUAUUUGGGGUGUUCGAGCUUCCUGAAGGUAAUACCCGGGUAUUAGGUUUUGGGGCUAGGGUAAGGUUUAAGGUUUUUGGCGUGAGGGUUAAAAUCACUGUCCAAAACCUUUGUAGGAACUCUUUUCCAACCUUUUGGAGUUAGUUAGACCAAAAAAAAACGAAAAAUGAAAAAAAAAUAUUUGGGGUUUUCGGGCUUCCUGAAGGUAAUACCCAGGUAUUAGGUUAUGGGGCUAGGGUAAGGUUCAAGGUUUUUGGCGUUAGAGUUAAAAUCACUGUCCAAAACCUUUGUAAGAACUCUUUUCCAACCUUUUGGAGUAAGUUAGACCAAAAAAAAAUGAAAAAUGAAAAAAAAAAUUUGUGGUUUUCGGGCCUCCUGAAGGUAAUACCCGGGUAUCAGGUUUUGGGGCUAGGUUAAGGUUUAAGGUUUUUGGCGUUAGGGUUAAAAUCACUGUCCAAAACCUUUAUACGAACUCUUUUCCAACCUUUUGGAUUUAGUUUGACCAAAAAAAAAAGAAAAAUGAAAAUAAAAUAUUUGGGGUGUUCGGGCUUCCUGAAGGUAAUACCCCGGUAUUAGGUUUUGGGGCUAGGGUAAGGUUUAAGUUUUUUGGCGUGAGGGUUAAAAUCACUGUCCAAAACCUUUGUAGGAACUCUUUUCCAACCCUUUCGGAGUUAGUUAGACCAAAAAAAAAACGAAAAAUGAAAAAAAAUAUUUGGGGUGUUCGGGCUUCCUGAAGGUAAUACCCGGGUAUUAGGUUUUGGGGCUAGGGUAAGGUUUAAGUUUUUUGGCGUGAGGGUUAAAAUCACUGUCCAAAACCUUUGUAGGAACUCUUUUCCAACCUUUUGGAGUUAGUUAGACCAAAAAAAAAUGAUUAAUUAAAAAAAAAAAUAUUUGGGGUGUUCGGGCUUCCUUAUUAGUAUUAGUUUAUGGGGCUUUGGAAAGGUUUAAGGUUUUUGGCAUUAGGGUUAAAAUCACUGUCCAAACCCUUUAUAGGAACUCUUUUCCAACCUUUUGGAGUUAGUUAGACCAAAAAAAAAAUUUAAAAAAGGAAAAAAAAAUUUGGGGUGUUCGGGCUUCCUGAAGGUAAUACCCGGGUAUUAGGUUAUGAGGCUUUGGAAAGGUUUAAGGUUUUUGGCGUUAGGGUUAAAAUCACUGUCCAAAACCUUUGUAGGAACUCUUUUCCAACCUUUUGGAGUUAGUUAGACCAAAAAAAAACGAAAAAUGAAAUAAAUUUUUUUUGGGGUGUAAAGGCUUCCUGAAGGUAAUACCCUUUUAUUAGGUUAUGGGGCUAGGGUAAGGUUUAAGGUUUUUUGGCGUUAGAGUUAAAAUUACUGUCCAAAACCUUUGUAAGAACUCUUUUCCAACCUUUUGGAGUAAGUUAGACCAAAAAAAAAUGAAAAAUGAAAAAAAAAUAUUUGUGGUUUUCGGGCCUCCUGAAGGUAAUACCCGGGUAUCAGGUUUUGGGGCUAGGUUAAGGUUUAAGGUUUUUGGCGUGAGGGUUAAAAUCACUGUCCAAAACCUUUGUAGGAACUCUUUUCCAACCCUUUCGGAGUUAGUUAGACCAAAAAAAAACGAAAAAUGAAAAAAAAAUAUUUGGGGUUUUCGGGCUUCCUGAAGGUAAUACCCGGGUAUUAGGUUUUGGGGCUAGGGUAAGGUUUAAGUUUUUUGGCGUGAGGGUUAAAAUCACUGUCCAAAACCUUUGUAGGAACUCUUUUCCAACCUUUUGGAGUUAGUUAGACCAAAAAAAAAUGAUUAAUUAAAAAAAAAAAUAUUUGGGGUGUUCGGGCUUCCUUAUUAGUAUUAGUUUAUGGGGCUUUGGAAAGGUUUAAGGUUUUUGGCAUUAGGGUUAAAAUCACUGUCCAAACCCUUUAUAGGAACUCUUUUCCAACCUUUUGGAGUUAGUUAGACCAAAAAAAAAAUUAAAAAAAGGGAAAAAAAAAUUGGGGGUUUUCGGGCUUCCUGAAGGUAAUACCCGGGUAUUAGGUUAUGGGGCUAGGGUAAGGUUUAAGGUUUUUGGCGUGAGGGUUAAAAUCACUGUCCAAAACCUUUGUAGGAACUCUUUUCCAACCUUUUGGAGUUAGUUAGACCAAAAAAAAAGAUAAUAGAAAAAAAAAUAGUUGGGGAUUUCGCGCUUCCUGAAGGUAAUACCCGGGUAUUAGGUUAUGGGGCUAUGGUAAGGUUUAAGGUUUUUAUUGUUAGGGUUAAAAUCACUGUCCAAAACCUUUGUAGGAACUCUUUUCCAACCUUUUGGAGUUAGUUAGACAAGAAAAAAAGGAAAAAUGAAAAAAAAAUGUUUGGGGUUUUCGGGCUUCCUGAAGGUAAUACCCGGGUAUUAGGUUAUGGGGCUAGGGUAAGGUUCAAGGUUUUUGGCGUUAGAGUUAAAAUUACUGUCCAAAACCUUUUAGGAACAAAUUUCAAACCUUUUGGAGUUAGUUAGACCAAAAAAAAACGAAAAAUGAAAAAAAAAAUAUUUGGGGUGUUCGGGCUUCCUGAAGGUAAUACCCCGGUAUUAGGUUUUGGGGCUAGGGUAAGGUUUAAGGUUUUUGGCGUUAGGGUUAAAAUCACUGUCCAAAACCUUUGUAGGAACUCUUUUCCAACCUUUUGGAGUUAGUUAGACCAAAAAAUAACGAAAAAUGAAAAAAAAAAAAAAUUUGGGGUGUUCGGCCUUCCUGAAGGUAAUACCCCGGUAUUAGGUUUUGGGGCUAGGGUAAGGUUUAAGGUUUUUGGCGUUAGGGUUAAAAUCACUGUCCAAAACCUUUGUAGGAACUCUUUUCCAACCUUUUGGAGUUAGUUAGACCAAAAAAAAAACAAAAAUGAAAAAAAAAAUAUUUGGGGUUUUCGGGCUUCCUGAAGGUAAUACCCGGGUAUUAGGUUAUGGGGCUAGGGUAAGGUUUAAGGUUUUUGGCGUUAGGGUUAAAAUCACUGUCCAAAACCUUUGUAGGAACUCUUUUCCAACCUUUUGGAGUUAGUUAGACCAAAAAAAAAUGAAAAAUUAAAAAAAAUAUAUUUGGGGUGUUCGGGCUUCCUUAUUAGUAUUAGUUUAUGGGGCUUUGGAAAGGUUUAAGGUUUUUGGCAUUAGGGUUAAAAUCACUGUCCAAAACCUUUGUAAGAAUUCUUUUCCAAACAUUUUGGAGUAAGUUAGACCAAAAAAAAAAAUGAAAAAGGAAAAAAAAAUUGGGGGUUUUCGGGCUUCCUGAAGGUAAUACCCGGGUAUUAGGUUAUGAGGCUUUGGAAAGGUUUAAGGUUUUUGGCGUUAGGGUUAAAAUCACUGUCCAAAACCUUUGUAGGAACUCUUUUCCAACCUUUUGGAGUUAGUUUGACCAAAAAAUUAAAAAUGAAAAAAAUUUUUUUGGGGGUGUAAAGGCUUCCUGAAGGUAAUACCCUUGUAUUAGGUUAUGGGGCUAGGGUAAGGUUUAAGGUUUUUUGGCGUUUGGGUUGAAAUCACUGUCCAAAACCUUUGUAGAAACUCGUUUCCAACCUUUUGGAGUUAGUUAGACCAAAAAAAAAUGAAAAAUGAAAAAAAAAUAUUUGGGUUGUUCGGGCUUCCUGAAGGUAAUUCAUGUAUUAGGUUAUGGGUUUAGGGUAAGGUUUAAGGUUUUUUGCGUUUGGGUUAAAAUCAGUGUCCAAAACCUUUGUAGGAACUCGUUUCCAACCUUUUGGAGUUAGACCAAAAAAAAAUGAAAAAUGAAAAAAAUAUAUUUGGGUUGUUUGUACUUCCUGACGGUAAUUCCCGGGUAUUAGGUUAUGGGGCUAGGGUAAGGUUUAAGGUUUUUGGCGUGAGGGUUAAAAUCACUGUCCAAAACCUUUGUAGGAACUCUUUUCCAACCUUUUGGAGUUAGUUAGACCAAAAAAAAAAAUGAAAAAGGAAAAAAAAAUUGGGGGUUUUCGGGCUUCCUGAAGGUAAUACCCGGUAUUAGGUUAUGAGGCUUUGGAAAGGUUUAAGGUUUUUGGCGUUAGGGUUAAAAUCACUGUCCAAAACCUUUGUAGGAACUCUUUUCCAACCUUUUGGAGUUAGUUUGACCAAAAAAUUAAAAAUGAAAUAAAUUUUUUUUGGGGUGUAAAGGCUUCCUGAAGGUAAUUCCCGGGUAUUAGGUUAUGGGGCUAGGGUAAGGUUUAAGGUUUUUGGCGUGAGGGUUAAAAUCACUGUCCAAAACCUUUGUAGGAACUCUUUUCCAACCUUUUGGAGUUAGUUAGACCAAAAAAAAAGAUAAAAAAAAAAAAUAGUUGGGGAUUUCGCGCUUCCUGAAGGUAAUACCCGGGUAUUAGGUUUUGGGGCUAGGGUAAGGUUUAAGGUUUUUGGCGUUAGGGUUAAAAUCACUGUCCAAAACCUUUGUAGGAACUCUUUUCCAACCUUUUGGAGUUAGUUAGACAAGAAAAAAAGGAAAAAUGAAAAAACAAUAUUUGUGGUUUUCGGGCAUCCUGAAGGUAAUACCCGGGUAUUAGGUUUUGGGGCUAGGGUAAGGUUUAAGGUUUUUGGCGUUAGGGUUAAAAUCACUGUCCAAAACCUUUGUAGGAACUCUUUUCCAACCUUUUGGCGUUAGUUAGACCAAAAAAAAAACAAAAAAUAAUAAUAAAAUUUUUUUGGGGGUGGUAGGGCUUCCUUUAGGUAAUAACCGGGUAUUAGGUUUUGGGGCUAGGGUAAGGUUUAAGGUUUUUGGCGUGAGGGUUAAAAUCACUGUCCAAAACCUUUGUAGGAACUCUUUUCCAACCUUUUGGAGUUAGUUAGACCAAAAAAAAAACAAAAAUGAAAAAAAAAAUAUUUGGGGUUUUCGGGCUUCCUGAAGGUAAUACCCGGGUAUUAGGUUAUGGGGCUAGGGUAAGGUUUAAGGUUUUUGGCGUUAGAGUUAAAAUUACUGUCCAAAACCUUUUUAGGAACAUGUUUCAGACCUUUUGGAAUUAGUUAGACCAAAAAAUAAAGAAAAAUGAAAAAAAAAAAAAAAUUGGGGGUGUUCGGCCUUCCUGAAGGUAAUACCCCGGUAUUAGGUUUUGGGGCUAGGGUAAGGUUUAAGGUUUUUGGCGUUAGGGUUAAAAUCACUGUCCAAAACCUUUAUAGGAACUCUUUUCCAACCUUUUGGAGUUAGUUAGACCAAAAAAAAACCAAAAAUGAAAAAAAAAAUAUUUGGGGUCUUCGGGGUUCCUGAAGGUGUUACCCGGGUAUUGGGUUUUGGGGCUAGGGUAAGGUUUAAGGUUUUUGGCGUUAGGGUUAAAAUCACUGUCCAAAACCUUUGUAGGAACUCUUUUCCAACCUUUUGGAGUUAGUUAGACCAAAAAAAAUGAUUAAUUAAAAAAAAAAUAUUUGGGGUGUUCGGGCUUCCUUAUUAGUAUUAGUUUAUGGGGCUUUGGAAAGGUUUAAGGUUUUUGGCAUUAGGGUUAAAAUCACUGUCCAAAACCUUUAUAAGAACUCUUUUCCAACCUUUUGGAGUUAGUUAGACCAAAAAAAAAAUGAAAAAGGAAAAAAAAAUUGGGGGUUUUCGGGCUUCCUGAAGGUAAUACCCGGGUAUUAGGUUAUGAGGCUUUGGAAAGGUUUAAGGUUUUUGGCGUGAGGGUUAAAAUCACUGUCCAAAACCUUUGUAGGAACUCUUUUCCAACCUUUUGGAGUUAGUUAGACCAAAAAAAAUGAUUAAUUAAAAAAAAUAUAUUUGGGGUGUUCGGGCUUCCUUAUUAGUAUUAGUUUAUGGGGCUUUGGAAAGGUUUAAGGUUUUUGGCGUUAGGGUUAAAAUCACUGUCCAAAACCUUUGUAGGAACUCUUUUCCAACCUUUUGGAGUUAGUUAGACCAAAAAAAAAAAUGAAAAAGUAAAAAAAAAUUGGGGGUUUUCGGGCUUCCUGAAGGUAAUACCCGGGUAUUAGGUUAUGAGGCUUUGGAAAGGUUUAAGGUUUUUGGCGUUAGGGUUAAAAUCACUGUCCAAAACCUUUGUAGGAACUCUUUUCCAACCUUUUGGAGUUAGUUUGACCAAAAAAUUAAAAAUGAAAUAAAUUUUUUUGGGGGUGUAAAGGCUUCCUGAAGGUAAUACCCUUGUAUUAGGUUAUGGGGCUAGGGUAAGGUUUAAGGUUUUUUGGCGUUUGGGUUGAAAUCACUGUCCAAAACCUUUGUAGAAACUCGUUUCCAACCUUUUGGAGUUAGUUAGACCAAAAAAAAAUGAAAAAUGAAAAAAAAAUAUUUGGGUUGUUCGGGCUUCCUGAAGGUAAUACCCGGGUAUUAGGUUAUGGGGCUAGGGUAAGGUUUAAGGUUUUUGGCGUUUGGGUUGAAAUCACUGUCCAAAACCUUUGUAGGAACUCUUUUCCAACCUUUUGGAGUUAGUUAGACCAAAAAAAUGAUAAAAGAAAAAAAAAUAGUUGGGGAUUUCGCGCUUCCUUAAGGUAAUACCCCGGUAUUAGGUUAUGGGGCUAUGGUAAGGUUUAAGGUUUUUAGUGUUAGGGUUAAAAUCACUGUCCAAAACCUUUGUAGGAACUCUUUUCCAACCUUUUGGAGUUAGUUAGACAAGAAAAAAAGGAAAAAUGAAAAAACAAUAUUUGGGGUUUUCGGGCUUCCUGAAGGUAAUACCCGGGUAUUAGGUUUUGGGGCUAGGGUAAGGUUGAAGGUUUUUGGCGUUAGGGUUAAAAUCACUGUCCAAAACCUUUGUAGGAACUCGUUUCCAACCUUUUGGAGUUAGUUACACCAAAAAAAAGUGAAAAAUAAAAAAAAAUAUUUGGGGUGUUCGGGCUUCCUGAAGGUAAUACCCGGGUAUUAGGUUUUGGGGCUAGGGUAAGGUUUAAGGUUUUUGGCGUUAGGGUUAAAAUCACUGUCCAAAACCUUUUUAGGAACUCUUUUCCAACCUUUUGGAGUUAGUUUGACUAAAAAAUAACGAAAAAUGAAAAAAAAAUAUUUGGGGUGUUCGGGCUUCCUGAAGGUAAUACCCGGGUAUUAGGUUUUGGGGCUAGGGUAAGGUUUAAGGUUUUUGGCGUUAGGGUUAAAAUCACUGUCCAAAACCUUUGUAGGAACUCUUUUCAAACUUUUUGAGUUAGUUAGACCAAAAAAAAAAGAACAAAGAAAAAAAAAAUUGGGGGUUUUCAAGCUUCCUGAUGGUAAUACCCGGGUAUUAGGUUUUGGGGCUAGGGUAAGGUUUAAGGUAUUUGGCGUUAGGGUUAAAAUCACUGUCCAAAACCUUUGUAGGUACAAGUUUCAGACCUUUUGGAGACAGUUACACCAAAAAAAUGUAAAAUGAAAAAAAUAUUUGAGGUGUUCGGGCUUCCUGAAGGUAAUACCCGGGUAUUUGGUUAUGGGGCUAUGGUUAGGUUUAAGGUUUUUGGCGUUAGGGUUAAAAUCACUGUCCAAAACCUUUGUAGGAACUCUUUUCCAACCUUUUGGAGUUAGUUAGACCAAAAAAAAAUGAAAAAUGAAAAAAAAAAAUUUGGGGUUUUACGGGCUUCCUGAAGGUAAUACCCGGGUAUUAGGUUAUGGGGCGUGGGAAAGGUUUAAGGUUUUUGGUGUUAGAGAUAAAAUCAGUGUCCAAAACCUUUUUAGGAACAUGUUUCAGACCUUUUGGAGUUAGUUAGACCAAAAAAUAACGAAAAAUGAAAAAAAAAUAUUUGGGGUGUUCGGGCUUUCUGAAGGUAAUACCCGGUUAUGGGGGUAUGGGGCUAUGGUAAGGUUUAAGGGAUUUUGGCGUUAGGGUUAAAAUCACUGUCCAAAACCUUUGUAGGAACUCUUUUCCAACCUUUUGGAGUUAGUUAGACCAAAAAAAAAGAAAAAUGAAAAAGAAAUAUUUGGGGUGUUCGGGCUUCCUGAAAGUAAUACCCGGGUAUUAGGUUUUGGGGCUAUGGUAAGGUUUAAGGUUUUUGGCGUGAGGGUUAAAAUCACUGUCCAAAACCUUUUUAGGAACAUGUUUCAGACCUUCUGGAGUUGGUUACACCAAAAAAAAUGUAAAAUGAAAAAAAUAUAUUUGGGGUGUUCAGGCUUCCUGAAGGUAAUAACCGGGUAUUAGGUCAUGGGGCGUGGGUAAGGUUUAAGGUUUUUGGUGUGAGGGUAAAAAUCACUGUCCAAAACCUUUGUAGGAACUCUUUUCCAACCUUUUGGAGUUAGUUACACCAAAA